UUACAUCUUCUGGAUAUUUUGGAUACCGAACUACAUUUUUGUAACCUCUAGCAAAGUGUUACUUGAUUCUAUUAACUUUCCAUUUAUAAACUUUUAUACAGUACACGCAUUGGAGAGCAUUGGUAUUAUUUCACUAACUUGAAUUACAUGUGAUCAUCUUGGGACCGUUCUUCUACUGCUAGUAGAAGAUCCAGAUGUAUUACCCUUAUCACCCAUCUAUGAUCUAGC
RNAcentral lists this unclassified non-coding RNA (228 nucleotides) under Hevea brasiliensis (rubber tree). The record is from RNAcentral. Lineage: Eukaryota; Viridiplantae; Streptophyta; Magnoliopsida; Malpighiales; Euphorbiaceae.